GUUUUUUUAAAGAAAAUAUUGAGAAAAAAUAUAGUCAUGUUUAUAAUAGGAAGUAAUUUAAAGGGACACUAUAGGCACCAAACAAAUUAACCCAUUAAGCUUAAUCCGUUAAAGACCAAGGAUCAUUUUAGAUGCAACCUGCUUAUGACCAAGGACUUUUUGUCACAUUUGUCAUGCAUUAAUUCUUCCACAAUUUCAUAAUUUCUAUUUCUGUACCCUUAAAGACUGUCAUGCAGUCCUUAACAGGUUAAUGGAAUGGUUUUGGUCUAUAGAUCAUGCCCCACAUAUAGUCUCACUGCUCAAUUCUCUGCCAUUUAGGAGCUAAAUCACUCUGUUUAUGCAGCCAUAGUCACACCUCCCUGCAUGUGACUUACUCAGCCUUCCUAAAAACUUCCUGUAAAAAGAGAUCUAAUGUUUAUACUUAAUUUAUUGUGUAUUCGGUUUAAUUUAGAAUUUCCUCUGCUCUCCUGCUCUGUUAAAAGCCCUCUAGAUCCUGAGGGAGCCUACUGUGUGUGAUUGAAGUCCAAUGUAUAGAACAGGAGAUUUAAAACUUCUAAAGCAAGUGAUUGUAAAUGAAACCAUUUUUUUUUCACACAGCUUGUGUGAGUCACAUGGGUGGGUGGUGCUGUUAGGGCUGCAUAAACAUAAACAAAAGUGAUUUAACUCCUAAAUGGCAUAGAGUUGAUCAAUGGGAUUGCAGAGGCAUGAUUCAUACACCAAAACUCCUUCAUUAAAAAGUUGUUUUGAUGUCUAUAGUGCAUCUUUAAUAUUGGCAGAUCACAAUAUAAAGUAUAUUUUUUAAGGUAUAAAUUAAAGUGUGCAUUUUUAAAAUCCUUCUGGUCACUUACAAUAAUUACUUACAAUUAUACACUAAAACACUAGAGUACUAUGUAAGUGUUCAAUUAAAAUGGCUUCAAUGGUUUUAAAGGUUCAUUGUACUUUUUUAAAAGAAUAUAGAUCAAUACAGUUAAUAGGUUAUUCUUUUUCCCAUUUUUCAGACUUUUCUGCAUAUGUUUAGCAGUUUAUCUGCCACAAAUUAUUUAAAUAUAAUGAGCUCUGCACCACUGCAGCAUUCAUAAAAAAGAUAAGAAUGAAGGAUAUCACGAUAGACUGACUUAGCUUCAUAAGAACUUUUUUCCACAGCAGAUGCAAGGUCAAUGGCUCCUUCCAAUAAAUAUAUGUAUAGUUAUUAUUUUGGUACACUUUAAUUUAUUAAUAAGAUGCUUUUGAUUUGUUAAAUGAGUUUUAGACUGAAUGUUAUCCCUACACAGUGCCUCAUCAUGUUAUAUUACUGGUAUUAUCAAUGAAAUAAAAUGUAUUAAGUACAUGUAUAUUAUACCAUAUACUAGUGACAUUUUAACUGUUUUAGUGCCAAGUGAGUUUUUAAGUAUUGCUCAAAGAUUUAUAUUUUUCCAGUAGGUUUUUGCAAUAAGAAAAAAAAUAAAUAAAAAAA
Non-coding RNA from Pelobates cultripes (western spadefoot toad), 1453 nucleotides. Lineage: Eukaryota; Metazoa; Chordata; Amphibia; Anura; Pelobatidae. The record is from the annotation of a GenBank genome assembly.